GGGGGUGUAGCUCAGUGGUAGAGCUGCUUGUCUUGCAUGCGUGUGGCUCUGGGUUUGAUCCCCAGCAUUGUCU
This 73-nucleotide transfer RNA is filed under the name Heterocephalus glaber (naked mole-rat). It matches the Rfam family "tRNA". Rfam says of the family: Transfer RNA (tRNA) molecules are approximately 80 nucleotides in length. Their secondary structure includes four short double-helical elements and three loops (D, anti-codon, and T loops). The record is from Rfam by way of RNAcentral. Lineage: Eukaryota; Metazoa; Chordata; Mammalia; Rodentia; Bathyergidae.